AUGGCGUCUCCUGCUUCUGUUACCAACCUGGGGAGCAACGGAAGGCCUGGUCCACUGCCGACAGCGGCAGUGAGGAGAGGGCACUUGGUUUCAAGGAUCAGUUUCACGGGUUUUGACGGUGUCCGGAGGUGGCCAUGUGCACCUGGAAGACUAUGUAGAUGUAUGGUCAUAACUAACUUGAUCGAUGAGAAGGGAGCUCAGUUCUCAUCAAGAGCAAGUGUGAACGUUAAAGCUGAUGAUGACAGUGAUCUUCUUUCAAAGCCCCCGCAGAGGCCAGUUCGGCUGAAUGGGCCACCAGCAAGCAUGGAUACAGCAACAACAUCAGCACCUGCCAGGAAGCCAGCAGGCGUAACAUUGCAAGACCGAGAGAAGGUCCGAGAGUCAUUGGAUGAGGUGUUGGAGAAGGCAGAGAAACUUGAGGCCUCGAGCUCCAGAAAUGUGGAUGGUGAGAACCGUGCAUUGAGACAGAAUGAUGUGGCAAAGCCUAAUAGUUCAGUGCCAAUAGUGGUGGAGGAAGGCUCGAAUUCCAAAAGGACAAAAACACUAAAGAGUGUAUGGAGAAAGGGGAACCCUGUGCCCACUGUACAUAAGGUGAUUAGAGAUCGGCCACGCACUGAAACUAGGGAUCAGUCCAUAUCUGCUGCUGAACCUUCAGUGUCAUCUCCAUCAAAACUAGCACCUCACCUACAAACAAGACCUUCUGUAGCACCACCACCUCGUCGCCCUGUCAAAGCUGACACAUCAAAGGAGAAAAAAGGACCCAUCCUGAUCGACAAAUUUGCUUCCAAGAGACCAAUGGUUGAUCCAGCUGUAGCUGAGGCACUGGUAGACCCUGUCAAGCCAGUACGCGGUCCACCAGCCAAAGCGAAGGAUAAUCGUCAUAAAAAAAUUAUUACACCAGCUGGUCCCCGCCGACGUAUGUCAAAUGAUGAUCGAUCAGUUGAUGACGACGCUCCAGUGCGCAAGGGAAGGAGGUGGAGCAAGGCAAAACGUAGGGCUGCCAGGCUUGAGGCUUUAGAAGCUGAAGAGCCUGUUAGGGUUGAGAUCCUUGAAGUUGGUGAAGAAGGUAUGGAUGUUGACGAAUUAGCAUAUCAACUGGCAGUUGGCGAAUCAGAAAUUCUGCGCUUUUUAUCAGUGAGAGGAGCAAUGCUUGACAAUGUUCAGACUCUUGAUAAAGAUUUGGUUAAGAUGGUUUGCAUGGAAUAUGAAGUUGAAGUACUGGAAAAUGGUCCGGUGAGAGUGGAAGAGAUGGCAAAGAAGAAUGAGUUCCUUGAUGAGGAGGAUUUGGAUAAACUGGAAGUAAGGCCUCCCAUUGUAACUAUCAUGGGUCAUGUUGAUCAUGGGAAGACUACUCUUUUGGAUUAUAUACGCAAGAGCAAGGUGGUGGCAUCUGAAGCUGGUGGAAUAACACAAGGAAUUGGAGCAUAUCAGGUUCUUGUGCCAGUUGAUGGAAACCCUCAGGCUUGUGUUUUUCUUGAUACUCCAGGGCAUGAGGCGUUUGGUGCAAUGAGAGCUCGAGGAGCAAAGGUAACUGAUAUCUGUAUCAUUGUUGUGUCUGCGGAUGAUGGCGUUCAGCCACAAACAAAUGAGGCAAUUGCGCAUGCAAAGGCAGCCAGAGUCCCUGUUGUAAUAGCUAUAAAUAAGGUGGACAAGGAGGGAGCUAAUCCAGAACGAGUCAUGCAAGAGCUUUCCCAGAUAGGACUUAUGCCAGAGAUGUGGGGUGGUGACACCCCGAUGGUUCAGAUAAGUGCUCUUAAGGGAGAGAAUGUUGAUGAGCUAUUAGAGACUGUCAUGCUUGUUGCUGAGUUGCUAGAAUUAAAAGCCAAUCCUCAUAGAAAUGCAAAGGGUACGGUUAUUGAAGCAUGUCUUGACAAGGCUAAAGGACCUCUUGCCACCCUAGUUGUACAGAAUGGAACCUUGAAUAAGGGCGAUAUUCUUGUUUGUGGUGAAGCUUUUGGAAAGAUCCGUGCAAUGUAUGAUGAUCGUGGAAGCCUUGUAGACCAAGCAGCGCCAUCCAACGCCGUGCAGAUGUGGUAG
Molecule: ribosomal RNA, 2037 nt
Filed under: Triticum aestivum (bread wheat)
Lineage: Eukaryota; Viridiplantae; Streptophyta; Magnoliopsida; Poales; Poaceae
Description: partial small subunit ribosomal RNA
Source: RNAcentral